RNAcentral lists this ribosomal RNA (358 nucleotides) under uncultured bacterium. RNAcentral's name for it is "partial 16S ribosomal RNA". It matches the Rfam family "Bacterial small subunit ribosomal RNA", at positions 355 to 707 of the family's 1533-position model. The record is from RNAcentral.
UGGGGAAUAUUGCACAAUGGGCGCAAGCCUGAUGCAGCCAUGCCGCGUGUGUGAAGAAGGCCUUCGGGUUGUAAAGCACUUUCAGCGAGGAGGAAGGUGGUGGACUUAAUACGUUCAUCAAUUGACGUUACUCGCAGAAGAAGCACCGGCUAACUCCGUGCCAGCAGCCGCGGUAAUACGGAGGGUGCAAGCGUUAAUCGGAAUUACUGGGCGUAAAGCGCACGCAGGCGGUUUGUUAAGUCAGAUGUGAAAUCCCCGGGCUCAACCUGGGAACUGCAUUGAAACUGGCAAGCUAGAGUCUCGUAGAGGGGGUAGAAUUCCAGGUGUAGCGGUGAAAUGCGUAGAGAUCUGGAGGAAU